AAAGAUUUAGGUUAAACAAACCAAAGACCUUCAAAGCCUUAAACAGAAGUAAUAAACUCUAAUCUUUG
This 68-nucleotide transfer RNA is filed under the name Gymnopis multiplicata. RNAcentral's name for it is "tRNA-Trp". The record is from RNAcentral. Lineage: Eukaryota; Metazoa; Chordata; Amphibia; Gymnophiona; Dermophiidae.